This 467-nucleotide ribosomal RNA is filed under the name Kingella denitrificans. RNAcentral's name for it is "bacterial SSU rRNA". It matches the Rfam family "Bacterial small subunit ribosomal RNA", at positions 30 to 491 of the family's 1533-position model. The record is from RNAcentral. Lineage: Bacteria; Pseudomonadati; Pseudomonadota; Betaproteobacteria; Neisseriales; Neisseriaceae.
AUUGAACGCGGCGGCAUGCUUUACACAUGCAAGUCGGACGGCAGCGGGGGUGCUUGCACCUGCCGGCGAGUGGCGAACGGGUGAGUAACAUAUUGGAAUGUACCGAGUAGUGGGGGAUAACCAAUCGAAAGAUUGGCUAAUACCGCAUACGUCCUAAGGGGGAAAGCAGGGGAUCUUCGGACCUUGCGCUAUUUGAGCAGCCAAUAUCUGAUUAGCUAGUUGGUGGGGUAAAGGCCCACCAAGGCGACGAUCAGUAGCGGGUCUGAGAGGAUGAUCCGCCACACUGGGACUGAGACACGGCCCAGACUCCUACGGGAGGCAGCAGUGGGGAAUUUUGGACAAUGGGGGCAACCCUGAUCCAGCCAUGCCGCGUGUCUGAAGAAGGCCUUCGGGUUGUAAAGGACUUUUGUUAGGGAAGAAAAGGGAAGUGCUAAUACCACUUUUUGCUGACGGACCUAAAGAAAAGC